UCCCAUUUACAAAUAUCUCAUUUUUUACAUUUUCUCUCUUCAAACUCCUUAUACAUAUCACAACUCCCCUUUUAUUACUCCUAAUUCUCCAAAAUUUAUGCCUAAAAUAAAGCAACCAUAAUCUCACUAUUCAAGGUUUGAAUUUACAAUUUUCGUCUUCAAUAUUGCAACAAGUCAAAAUAACAUAGUUUUCCAAUUCCUUUGUCGGCGAAUCACAUCGUUGAUGCCCCUUCAAUCCAUUUUUGUUAGCAAACCACGCUGGUGGUGAUGGAGUUCUUCGAUGUUAUCCAUUUCUAAAGGAUCAAUAUGACCUUGACAAACCACGCUGGUGGGGUGCGCUGUUCGACGUUCUUCAAGUUGGAACAUUGUUAUACAUAACUAUGAUCUGUAUAGGGGUAAAGUCACAAAAUCUUCAAGUAAGAAAAGAAUUAAAGGAUCAACACAACCUUGAAUUCCAAAGAUUUUGUGAUGUGCUUUUGAGUCUGUAUUUUUUUUCGAUUUAUUGUUCUCUUAUACAUUGUUAUACAUAGCUAUGUUAUGUACAGGGGUAAAGUCUUUUUUUUUUAUGAGAUCUAGUCUUAUUUUUUCUCCAUAUACAUUAUUUCGCAAUGUAUAUGAUUGACCCAUUCUGUUAUUUAUGCAUGCAAGGGUUAUGUUUAAGGGUUGUCAGUGGCAUGUAAUGUAUAUGGCUUGAAGUAUUCGUAUCCUAUACAUGUAAGACUUAUGUAUAAGAGAUUUUCUGUGUUAUGCAAUUUAUAUGAUUUGACCUAAUGUUAUAUAUUUUAUGUAUAGUUUUAUGUUUCUUCUGC
This 809-nucleotide long non-coding RNA is filed under the name Capsicum annuum. RNAcentral's name for it is "long non-coding RNA (CANN_LNC005119)". Lineage: Eukaryota; Viridiplantae; Streptophyta; Magnoliopsida; Solanales; Solanaceae. The record is from RNAcentral.